UAGGGAAUAUUGCGCAAUGGGCGAAAGCCUGACGCAGCGACGCCGCGUGGGUGAUGAAGCUCUUUGGAGUGUAAAACCCUUUCAGCAGGGAAGAACCGCAUACGGAGUAACUGCCGUAUGCCUGGCGGUACCUGCAGAAGAAGCUCCGGCCAACUCCGUGCCAGCAGCCGCGGUAAUACGGGGGGAGCGAGCGUUGUUCGGAUUUACU
RNAcentral lists this ribosomal RNA (208 nucleotides) under uncultured bacterium. RNAcentral describes it as "partial 16S ribosomal RNA". It matches the Rfam family "Bacterial small subunit ribosomal RNA", at positions 355 to 555 of the family's 1533-position model. The record is from RNAcentral.